RNAcentral lists this ribosomal RNA (213 nucleotides) under uncultured bacterium. RNAcentral describes it as "partial 16S ribosomal RNA". It matches the Rfam family "Bacterial small subunit ribosomal RNA", at positions 1287 to 1500 of the family's 1533-position model. The record is from RNAcentral.
CCCAGUUCGGAUUGCAGGCUGCAACCCGCCUGCAUGAAGUUGGAAUCGCUAGUAAUCGCGGAUCAGCAUGCCGCGGUGAAUACGUUCCCGGGCCUUGUACACACCGCCGUCACACCAUGAGAGUCGGGACACCCGAAGUCCGUAGUCUAACCGCGAAGGGGGACGCGGCCGAAGGUGGAUUCGAUAAUUGGGGUGAAGUCGUAACAAGGUAGC